GUGGGGUUACCAAAGCGGCCUAAUGGCGCGGUCUGCAAAACCGUCGUGCGCCGGUUCGAAUCCGGCACCCCACU
RNAcentral lists this transfer RNA (74 nucleotides) under Burkholderiaceae bacterium. RNAcentral describes it as "tRNA-Cys". It matches the Rfam family "tRNA". Rfam says of the family: Transfer RNA (tRNA) molecules are approximately 80 nucleotides in length. The record is from RNAcentral. Lineage: Bacteria; Pseudomonadati; Pseudomonadota; Betaproteobacteria; Burkholderiales; Burkholderiaceae.